RNAcentral lists this ribosomal RNA (494 nucleotides) under uncultured bacterium. RNAcentral describes it as "partial 16S ribosomal RNA". It matches the Rfam family "Bacterial small subunit ribosomal RNA", at positions 28 to 507 of the family's 1533-position model. The record is from RNAcentral.
GACGAACGCUGGCGGCGUGCUUAACACAUGCAAGUCGAACGGUGAAGCGCCUUCCUUUUUGGUGGGUGUGGAUGAGUGGCGAACGGGUGAGUAACACGUGAGUAACCUGCCCCCUUCUUCUGGAUAACCGCAUGAAAGUGUGGCUAAUACGGGAUAUUCUGGGUCUGUCGCAUGAUGGGUCUGGGAAAGAUAUUGUUUCGGUGGGGGAUGGGCUCGCGGCCUAUCAGCUUGUUGGUGGGGUGAUGGCCUACCAAGGCGGUGACGGGUAGCCGGCCUGAGGGGGUGGACGGUCACACUGGGGCUGCGACACGGCCCAGACUACUGCGGGCGGCAGCAGGGGGGAAUAUGGCACAGUGGGCGCAAGCCUGAUGCAGCGACGCCGCGGGGGGGAUGGAGUCCUUCGGGUUGUGAACCUCUUUCGCCAGUGAAGCAGGCCUGCCUCGUUUGUGGGUGGGUUGACGGUAGCUGGAUAAGAAGCGCCGGCUAACUACGUG